Molecule: long non-coding RNA, 808 nt
Filed under: Homo sapiens (human)
Lineage: Eukaryota; Metazoa; Chordata; Mammalia; Primates; Hominidae
Description: non-protein coding lnc-POU4F2-1:1
Source: RNAcentral
CCUACUGCGGGGACCCUUUGCCCAGAAGCCUGAGGGGAAUCUCCAGCUACUCCUCCUCACCCAGGGGUGGGGGAUAGUGAGGGGGGCUGCUCACAUCUGUCUGCAUCUGCCAGAGGACUGGACAGAAGCUAUUGUCAAACAAAGAGGCUUGGCGAGAAGAAAGGAGCGCCUCCUGAAGUCACAGAGUUGAUCCAUUUUCCAUCUUGCUGCUUAAAAAAUAAAAUGUUUAUUUUCUUUUUGCUAGGUAGGUCUGUAGGUGUGUAGAUGCACAAGUGUGAAUAGCGGCUUGGGCAUAGGUAUGUUGAGGUCGUAGGAAGCAGGUUUCAAAUUUUGGGUCAUUUGCCUCCACCCCUUGGGUUUAUUGCCAACUUUCUAAUUGUUUAGAUGGCUCCUGAUAACUGCGGGGCUGGAGGUUUUCUUCCUUGGAGAGAGGCUUCCACACUCGCUGGAGCACUUUGCAGCACUACCCAACGCUGGCUUGGGCCGCAACUUUAUUUGGGAGUUUCUUUUUCCGGUGAGACAGAGACCCGGCAGAAGAAGCGGGAGGGGCUGGAGGCUGGUCCUUAGGUAGGCACUGCCCGGCGACUGGAGCGCGGACCUGGCCAUUUGGGUGGGGUUGAGUGGGGGCGCGAUUGUGAGUAGCAGCCGCGGGACGCUGCGAAGGGGCGGCGGCAACAGAGCACGGGCGGGGGCAGAAAAGAGGCGGCGGAGGGCGCGGUGGGGGAGCGCGAGGCGAGUGCUGAGAGAGCAGAAAGGACUCAAGCCUGAGGGGAGUAGAGAGGAAGAAGGGGCAACGCGAGAAACCGAA